GAAAUGCGAUAAGUAAUGUGAAUUGCAGAAUUCAGUGAAUCAUCGAAUCUUUGAACGCACAUUGCGCCCGCCAGUAUUCUGGCGGGCAUGCCUGUCCGAGCGUCAUUUCAACCAUCAAGCCCCCGGGCUUGUGUUGGGGACCUGCGGCUGCCCGCAGGCCCUGAAAACCAGUGGCGGGCUCGCUGUCACACCGAGCGUAGUAGCAAUCACCUCGCUCAGGGCGUGCUGCGGGUUCCGGCCGUUAAACAGCCUUACAAAACCCAAGGUUGACCUCGGAUGAGGUAGGAAGACCCGCUGAACUUAAGC
This 306-nucleotide unclassified non-coding RNA is filed under the name plant metagenome. Its description in RNAcentral is "partial contains 5.8S ribosomal RNA, internal transcribed spacer 2, and large subunit ribosomal RNA". The stretch from base 1 to 105 matches the Rfam family "5.8S ribosomal RNA", at positions 50 to 154 of the family's 154-position model. The record is from RNAcentral.